UGCAGGACAGGUAGAAUGGGGGUCAGUGAAGUACCUGACGGACAAGGCAAGUUUCCCCCCACUUUUUCAGAAUAUUAUCACAGCCCAAACAUGGUGGUGGACAUGGCUGCUGCACCAUAAACAGAGGUAUUGUCUCUCUUGGAUUGUUGCCUUAAAGAUGUUUCUUCCAGGUCCUGGUAUGAGGGUCUUAUUUCUCAAUGUGGAGCUAGGGAUUAAGGACUGCGAAGAUGCCAUCAGUCAAGGAAACCAGAGCAAAUUAUCUCAGAGUUUCCACUCAACUUAGGCUGAUCUGUGUUGAAACCCGCAGCAUCUCUCUUUCUUUCUCCUUCUACGAUCUUUGCACUACAGAUGCUUCCAGGAGUUUUGAGGAGAAAGCACACGCAUGCUCUCUACAGCAGAUCUUGCAGUGGCUUGAGGUGGCCUCACCAAUCCUCAUAGCUUUGCCUCCUUGGAACUUUCUCUGAAGCUGAAGAAGUUGUGUCACACUGAAGAAGUCACAUACACAAAUGUGUCAGGUGUGACCUGAAAGCACAAAGAGGUUAAAGCCUCCAAGGGCAACCCAACAAUGGGGUCAGGACUCCUUGGCCACAGGCCCCAGCCUCCUUCUCCAGCUGGUGCUGUUCCCAAGAACAUUCCUCGGAGGAUCCCAAUAGGGUUGAGGCCCUGUUGCUCAGGGUGGAACCAGCUUAGGCUGCAUCCUUGGUUGACUCUUCUCCCUCACUUCUGCCUCUUCUUCCAAGUAAACUCAAUGCAUUUAAGUCCUUGAUUCAGGUUCUGUUUUUGAUUUUUUUUUUUUUUGAGCAGCUCAAACUAAAAAAUGUUUACACUUGUUUCUAGGAAAGCUGGCUUGAAAGUCCUCUAAGAUCUCAGAGUGGUGACGGUGGGUGUCAAAAGUCUGAAUUCCUCUCUCCAUGAGCCUUUCUGGCAAAAGUGUCAUGAGCUGCAUGUGCCAUGGCUUUGGACCAUUCCUGUGCUCCUCUGUGCAGGGCCACUGUCCCAUUAUGCACUAGAAGAUGCAGUGCCUUAGGUAUGACAACUUCACAGAGGACAGUCUGAAAACCAAAAAUAAAUGGAUUGGUUUUAAAGUACGAGAAUUUUAAAAAAUAAAAAUUCAUGAACAUUUAAUAUUGAAUGUCUAUGAAAUAUUCUACCCAUUAAAUAAUUGCUUCUGGUUA
RNAcentral lists this long non-coding RNA (1175 nucleotides) under Marmota monax (woodchuck). The record is from RNAcentral. Lineage: Eukaryota; Metazoa; Chordata; Mammalia; Rodentia; Sciuridae.